UCGGGGCUCAUUCACUCAGCUCAUGAAUUUGACUGUGUGGUGAGUCCAUCUGCAGAUGGUUGGAUUAAACUUACCGAAAAGACAGAUCUGACUUUACUCUUUUAUUGACAGAAAUUUCCACCACAAUUUUGGCGACGAGGAUGGGAUCACUUCUGUGAGAGAGUGCCUUAAACUCAGUGCAGACGGUUCAAAGGGUACCCGGGAGCUCGGACUCCAAAACCUCAACCUCGCCAUCAAAGGAGCAGAGACGUGAGGGCCUGACGCCUGAGACAAGGUGGCUCGCUCACAGCUGUGAUCUACAGAACCGUGUGGAAGCUGUCUUCUCGGUCAAGGACGCUCUGCCUGCCCCAGCAGCCCACAAACUGCAUGAUUUGGAGCCAGGGGAUUGGGUCGUCAUUCGAGAUCUCAGGAGAAAGAACUGGAGAGCUCGCAGAUGGAACGGUCCGUUCCAAGUGUUUCUGACCACGGAGACGGCAGUGAAGAUCGCAGAGAGAGCCACCUGGGUUCACGCCAGCCACUGCAAACGGGUUCCAGAGCCAGCGGACGACACCUCACAGAGCGUGCUUAUUGUAGAAUAAUCAUGACUGAUGUUUGAGCAUGUCUUU
Acanthopagrus latus (yellowfin seabream) is the source of this 605-nucleotide long non-coding RNA. RefSeq lists it as uncharacterized. The record is from RefSeq and is a predicted model, not a curated record. NCBI's taxonomy places the organism in Eukaryota, Metazoa, Chordata, Actinopteri, Spariformes, Sparidae. The transcript is spliced from 2 exons.